GGGCCCGCACAAGCGGCGGAGCAUGCGGCUUAAUUCGAUGCAACGCGAAGAACCUUACCUAGGCUUGACAGUUGGGGAAAACUGGCAGAGAUGUCAGGUCCGUAAGGGCCCCAAAACAGGUGGUGCAUGGCUGUCGUCAGCUCGUGUCGUGAGAUGUUGGGUUAAGUCCCGCAACGAGCGCAACCCUCGUCGUAUGUUGCCAGCGGAUAACGCCGGGGACUCAUACGAGACUGCCGGGGUCAACUCGGAGGAAGGUGGGGACGACGUCAAGUCAUCAUGCCCCUUAUGUCUAGGGCUGCACGCAUGCUACAAUGGCCGGUACAGAGGGCUGCGAAACCGCAAGGUAGAGCGAAUCCCAAAAAGCCGGUCUCAGUUCGGAUUGGGGUCUGCAACUCGACCCCAUGAAGUCGGAGUCGCUAGUAAUCG
This 426-nucleotide ribosomal RNA is filed under the name uncultured bacterium. Its description in RNAcentral is "bacterial SSU rRNA". It matches the Rfam family "Bacterial small subunit ribosomal RNA", at positions 917 to 1344 of the family's 1533-position model. The record is from RNAcentral.